GUACUGGUGAAGAGUCCCAAACUAGGACGAAACAGCUAUCCAGUAC
This is a non-coding RNA of Trichobilharzia regenti, 46 nucleotides long. The record is from Rfam. Lineage: Eukaryota; Metazoa; Platyhelminthes; Trematoda; Strigeidida; Schistosomatidae.